UUUGAUAUACACAUCAAAUUUCAGGUCAAUCAGAGUUCAUCAAUAAAUUCAGAAAAAUCAACAUGUACGGAUACACACAAAACACGACUAAAUUCAUGAAUGUGUACCAUGACCUCAAAACGCCAAAAUAAUUGAUAUUUCUCUUGGUGAACAUGGUGAGUAUUAAUCACCAGGCUGUUUCCGAUAUACACAUCAAAUUUCAGGUCAAUCAGAGUCCAUCAAUAAAUUCAGAAAAAUCAACAUGUACUGAUACACACAAAACACGACUAAAUUCAUGAAUGUGUACCAUGACCCCAAAACGCCAAAAUAAUCGCUAUUUCUCUUGGUGAACAUGGUGAGUAUUGAUCACCAUGCCGUUCUCUCGAUAUACACAUCAAAUUUCAGGUCAAUCAGAGUCCAUCAAUAAAUUCAGAAAAAAUCUCGUUAAGUGUUGAUCGUGGCCUAAUAGACGACUUUGAUCGAACUAUAGGAAAUUUAUUAUACAUAAAUACACGAAAACUUACUACAUU
This 509-nucleotide long non-coding RNA is filed under the name Capsicum annuum. Its description in RNAcentral is "long non-coding RNA (CANN_LNC015050)". Lineage: Eukaryota; Viridiplantae; Streptophyta; Magnoliopsida; Solanales; Solanaceae. The record is from RNAcentral.